Molecule: small nuclear RNA, 132 nt
Filed under: Erinaceus europaeus (western European hedgehog)
Lineage: Eukaryota; Metazoa; Chordata; Mammalia; Eulipotyphla; Erinaceidae
Description: 7SK RNA
Rfam family: 7SK RNA
About the family: 7SK was discovered as an abundant small nuclear RNA in the mid-70s but a possible function has only recently been suggested. Two independent studies have found that 7SK RNA binds the CDK9/cyclin T complex (known as elongation factor P-TEFb).
Source: Rfam by way of RNAcentral
AAUCACAACCUUUGCUAGAACCUCCAAACAAGCUCUCAAGGUCCAUUUGUAGAAGAACGUAGGGUAGUAAAGCUUCCAAGAACUCCAGACAUAGCCAAAAGAGGCGCUACAUGUGGCAGCCUGCCUUUCUCC